Gorilla gorilla gorilla (western lowland gorilla) is the source of this 635-nucleotide long non-coding RNA. RefSeq lists it as uncharacterized. NCBI's taxonomy places the organism in Eukaryota, Metazoa, Chordata, Mammalia, Primates, Hominidae. The transcript is spliced from 3 exons. The record is from RefSeq and is a predicted model, not a curated record.
GUUAUAUUUCACAAUAAAAAAAUUGAGAAUCAGAAGUCAGAUUCCAUAAAAACCCAACAAUGAAAACCAACAAGAAAGAAAUAUUAAAUACAAAUAAUCAUAAUUCUGUGCCAAAGAAAUGAGUAAUCUGACUUCGCUGAGGAAAUCAAGUCUACAGGGUCUCACUUUGCUACUCAAGCUGGUCUUGAACUCCUGGCUUCCAGCAAUCCUCCCACCUCGGCCUCUAAAAUGCUGGGAUUGCAGGCGUGAGCCAUGGCCCAAUCACAAACAUUGCCUGACAACCAACAUCUACUUUUAGAUAAAAGCAACUUUUAUAAUUAAGGGGCCAACACUAAAUAUUAGACCACAGCAAGAAACCCAAGAGCAUAUCCUUAUAUUGCACAUACUGCUUAUAUGAGUGACGAUAUUUUCAAGAAAAAAGACCUUGGCCGGGCAUGGUGGCUCACACCUGUAAUCCCAGCACUUUGGGAGAUCAAGGCAGGCAGAUCACCUGAGGUCAGGAUCAAGACCAGCCUGGCCAACAUGGAGACACCUCGUCUCUACUAAAAAUACAAAAAUUAGCCGCCCGUGUUGGCUCAUGCCUGUAAUCCCAGCUACUCAGGAGGCUGAGGCACAAGAAUUGCUUGAACCUGGCA